Bacillus rossius redtenbacheri is the source of this 2902-nucleotide RNA transcript. RefSeq lists it as uncharacterized. The record is from RefSeq and is a predicted model, not a curated record. The transcript is spliced from 6 exons. NCBI's taxonomy places the organism in Eukaryota, Metazoa, Arthropoda, Insecta, Phasmatodea, Bacillidae.
AGUCGCCGAGCAGCGCGCAACGUGUGACAUCCGCUUCUGAGCGAAGUCCGCGCUGCGGGCAACAGGAGCUGACUGCAGAGUGCAGAGUGCAGAGUGCAGAGUGCCGAGUGCCGAGUGCUGAGUGCUGAGUGCUGAGCGCGCACGCGUGUCGCAGGGAACAACACCACGUGACCCGACACCCGCGGAGCGAGGCUGAGGCCGCAUCCAGUCGACAGUUCACGUCCGGACUUCUCAGCUCGCCGCAGCAGGAGGCGCCAUGAGGACCCCGGCCCUGGUCGUCAUCAUGGCCGCUGCCUCGUGUCUGGCGCUGCCCGCGCUCUGCCUGGUGCCGCGGUGCCGGCAGCUGCCCGCCCUGGCUCUCCCUGGGGAGGUCUCCGUGCUGGCGCCGCUGGCCCCGUCCUGACGGCAGUGCGUCAAGCAGGCCAGGCUGCUAAAUCUGCUUGAGACCCGCUUCAAAGCAUCAAAUUUCUCAAACGUCAACUUCUUCAUCGUCAGCUUAAGAACUUCAGGGAACGACACCAGAGGGCUAACUUACCUACGUCGAGCAGCUGGGAGGAUUCCAAUUCUUCAGGAGCCGGAAAAUUGUGCAGAGUGGACCAACAUUUUAACAGACACCAACAUGCACAUACUUGUAAUGGACAAAUGUAAUCGUCUGACAUACCAACUGAUACAGCCAUGGAGCGCACCCAACUACCCAUAUGUCAAAGCUGCAAUACUGUCAACAUAUAUUGACAAUCCGUGUGGUGACUGCAACAAAACAUCAACAAUGAUUGAAAAUUCGACUUCACCGCCGUCUACAACAGAAUCUGGAAUUCUGUCUCGAUACGACAUUCCCUUGGAGGCUACGUCAAAAGCAGACUCAAACUUGCCCUUCCCAUUAGUGAACACUGCUACUGGAAUAACGGCUACAAAUGAGAACACGAAUUAUUCUGUCGCUGUAGAAACUGCCUCAAAUUCAUUUUUAGAUAAGAACAGGAACAAAAUACAAAACGCAACAAAUUACUUUCAGUACUCUACACUUUUACAGCAGGCAAAUAUAAGCAAUACAAGUGACACUCAAAAUGUAAAUGGCACACUUGACAACAAUUUAUACAGAAUUCUUCAUAAACGUAACUUAAAAAAUCAUACUUUUUCAAACCAUAUUUUGCAAAUUCCUUCCAUAACAACUGAGGACAAUGAUGAAAAUGAAGAGGUAAGUAACGUCUCAGCAGGAAACACAUCAGAAUCAAGUACGACCACAUACGGUUCAGAGUCCCCAGAAAGUACGACAGAGCCACAAUCGCAAGAGAACCCGUCCGUGUUGAAAAAUGUUGACCAGUCUGUAAAAACAGAGGUGAACUUUAGUACCACUUCUAAUUAUAUUCGCUCCACAGAACAACCCCAUGACAACAGCACCAGAUUCGAUACAAAUAUAUCUGUGGAUGAAACCAGAAUUGAACAACAGAUGCACUCGAAGAAUGAUUCCGACGAUCACAAAGCUGCUCACGGCAAAUUCUUUCACGACAGGAAAUCCCACGCCUAUCUGUGUCCUCGGAGGAAAGUUGUAAAACACCGCGGCACGGGCCUGGACGACGCGAACACCACCGCCGAAGCCGUGCAAGGAGGAAGUCGCCACUGGAGGAAACCAAGCAAGUGCAAGCGGAAGCCCAUCUCCUUGGCGGAGAGGACUCAGACGACGAGCGCGGAUCGGGACUACGCCCACGGCCUGAGCCCGGCGGUCAGCACGGACGUCGCGAUGAUAGGCGGAGAACCCUCUAGCACUUGCGCCGAAGAGGGCAGGGGCGGUGGCAGGAACGCCCUGGAUCCCGGCGUCGACGAGACGUUGGAACACCCGGAUGACGGAAGGAAAGCCCCCGCCGGCAAGACGCGCAAGAAGUGUCCCGCGAAGCCGAAACAGGACGAAAUCCACCGGGACAAGAGCGCGGAGCUGCCAGGACAGUCACCUCCGACACAACCCACAAGGACAACACCUCCCCAGGAGAACGUCAGCGUGGUCGCAGCUAUGGUCUGUCCGGAGCGCAGAGGCGAAGAAUCCGAGGAAGGAGUUCGAUAUCCAACCGCGAACGCGACAGAGGAAGAAACCAUCCGACAAUACGAAGAACUAUCACCAUGGCUGGAGUACAUACUCUAGUCAAAGAUACUAUCCGGAGCAUUUAUCUAGACCGUUCACAGCAGUAUUACAACACGUGCAUUGCAUGAAUUGUCAAUAAGCGGCAGCAAACAUUCUAAAACUGAUUUCAAUGGGUCGUUUAUUAGGUUACGUCAGUUACAUCUAUCACAUUAUCAAGCUUCUUCAAAAAUUUUAAUUGGAUUAGGUUCGUUAGUUAAGAUUAAAAAUUGGUUCUGCAGAACAGUCUUUGCUGUGUUUAUUUACACGAAGGAAGUAUCAAGGUGUGAACACUCGCGCUACAAAGCGCUUUGCAGUCAGCUGAAAACGAUAAACAUGAUGUCUAAUGUAUUAUUCAAUUUGACUGGCUUUAAAUAUUAUCAAAUAAUUAUAAGCUAAAAUGCUUUAUUUUGUAAAUCAAAUAUUUGAAUAGUAUUUUUGUUACAAAAUAAGAAACCACUGAUGUAUGUUUUUAUUAUAAUCAUAUGAUUUUUAAAAAAAAUAUUUUACAAGUGUUAGCUCUAACUGGAAGAGGACUGAAGAUGGCGACUUUAGUACUUUUUUUGUGACGAGACGUUUUUCUCAUUUGCAAUAUUAUGAUGACUCUGUACUAAACCAUUAAAUUAAAAUGGCGAACAGACGUCUGAAGUUUCUCAGCAAAUGUGAUUUGAUGACUCGACUAAACAAAGUACUAUUACCCAUUAUAAUUAGUUUUUGCUUGUAUUUGCUAAAUAAUGUAAACAUAUUUUAAUACACUAGUAUAUUAUUAAAAAUUAACAAGAAAUUUGUUGAAAA